CCUGGAAAGCAUCAGAUCAGACUGGUCGCGGUAUGAAAGUUACGAGAAGUUUCAAGCUCCUGAAGGUUUUCCCGUAAUAUAAAGACCCGAACAAAAAAAGAAAGAAUUGUUCAAAUAUUGAAAUGCUUCGGAGGUAUUCGAUCAAGGAACAAUAGGGAUGUUGAUAUUUAUUUGUCUUGCUCUGGUCUUGGCAGUUUCUACUCGAGCAG
Molecule: long non-coding RNA, 209 nt
Organism: Leptinotarsa decemlineata (Colorado potato beetle)
Lineage: Eukaryota; Metazoa; Arthropoda; Insecta; Coleoptera; Chrysomelidae
Gene: Lgr4
Source: RefSeq, a predicted model, not a curated record